Molecule: ribosomal RNA, 509 nt
Filed under: uncultured glomeraceous AM fungus
Lineage: Eukaryota; Fungi; Glomeromycota; Glomeromycetes; Glomerales; Glomeraceae
Description: SSU rRNA
Rfam family: Eukaryotic small subunit ribosomal RNA
Source: RNAcentral
AGCAGCCGCGGUAAUUCCAGCUCCAAUAGCGUAUAUUAAAGUUGUUGCAGUUAAAAAGCUCGUAGUUGAAUUUCGGGGUUAGUAGAUUGGUCAUGCCUCUGGUAUGUACUGGUCUCACUGAUUCCUCCUUCCUGAUGAACCUUAAUGCCAUUAAUUUGGUGUUUUGGGGAAUUUGGACUGUUACUUUGAAAAAAUUACGAGUGUCUAAAGCAAGCUAACGCUUGAAUACAUUAGCAUGGAAUAAUGAAAUAGGACGUUCGAUCCUAUUUUGUUGGUUUCUAGGAUUGACGUAAUGAUUAAUAGGGAUAGUUGGGGGCAUUAGUAUUCAAUUGUCAGAGGUGAAAUUCUUGGAUUUAUUGAAGACUAACUACUGCGAAAGCAUUUGCCAAGGAUGUUUUCAUUAAUCAAGAACGAAAGUUAGGGGAUCGAAGACGAUCAGAUACCGUCGUAGUCUUAACCAUAAACUAUGCCGGCUAGGGAUCGGAUGAUGUUAAUUUUUUAAUGACUCA